Non-coding RNA from Paramisgurnus dabryanus, 1270 nucleotides. NCBI's taxonomy places the organism in Eukaryota, Metazoa, Chordata, Actinopteri, Cypriniformes, Cobitidae. The record is from RefSeq and is a predicted model, not a curated record.
GACAGUUUUUUUUCUUUUCAAACUGAGGAGUUCGGACUCCGGACCGGCAUUUCUGCUUGUUGGUACCCUGAGAUAACCAUGGUUAAUAAAUGGUCCGUUAUGACACGUCACUGGCUUUAAAAUAUAAACCCCAUUGAUGCAAAAAGAUGCUGCAUGGAAUGACAAUGAGGUUUGGAACAGACUUGGUGAAGAACAUGGAAACAUCUCUAAAUAACAUGGCCCCAACCAUCAUCAGGAGUGCAAAAGAAUGAAGUAAAAAACAUCUCUACGCCAAUCUCAUUGGAACAGCAGAGGAAACCACAGAAGAAAGAAAGCCGUGAACGUUUGAAAUAACGAGAACCCAAAGGUCCCACACCAACCAUAGUGUUCAACGGCUCUUCUGAUCCUCUCAAAUCUCAAAGUAUCAACUUUAUAAUGGACAAUGUGAACAUAAUAUGUGGAAGACAUUGACAUCACAGGCUGUGGAAUGACUGUUUGCGGGGUUUUUUCUCUUCAAUGUUCAAUACCCUUUUGCCAUUAAGCACACAGUGACUUUAAUUUAUAAAAUAUAUGCUUAAAUUUAAAUACCUGUACAAAACAAAUGUACAAUCAACUUGUGUAAAUUGUCAUUCUAUUUAAUAGAUUGUUCAUGAAUUGUCUUUAAAUGCAUUGUGAUUUCUUUUCAUCAUUUCAGAAACAUGUAAAAGUUACUAAAAAUUAGUACUGCAUAUACUGUACAGUAUCUUUGUUUAUAAAAACAGAAAAUGCGUAAGGGAAAUAACUUGAACAAAAUUUUUGAAUGUAUAGUGUAAUUAAGAGUUUAGCUGUUUAAUACAGAGAUGCAAUUUUAAUAUAUAUAUAUAUAUAUAUAUAUAUAUAUAUAUAUAACGCAUGUAUGUUUAUAAAAAAGUGAAAAUGCUUAGUGGAAAUAAUUAAAUAACUAAAUGGUUGAAUGAAAUGAGACAUUUUAAAUGUAAACUAAAUGUUUUGCUGUCUAAUACAGAAUAAAGAGAUGUGAUUUUAAGUAAUUUUUAUAGAUUUAUAUUUCUGUAUAAUACAAUUAAUAAAUAGUAAACUUUUAUAAUUUUCUGGAUCGGUUAUAAUUUCUUAUCAAUAAUAAAUUCCUCAUAAUUAUAAAGAACCUUUAAUGGUUCUAAAUAGAACCAUCUAACUUUGUUUCAAAGAACCAUUUGGGGUUCUUUUUAAUGAACCCAUUAAAGUGGUUCUAUAUUGAACCAUUUGGGGGUUCCAUAUAUGAAGCGGGUGAUAGAACCAUUUCUGGUUUGAUAUA